Unclassified non-coding RNA from Callithrix jacchus (white-tufted-ear marmoset), 300 nucleotides. It matches the Rfam family "Metazoan signal recognition particle RNA". Rfam says of the family: The signal recognition particle (SRP) is a universally conserved ribonucleoprotein. It is involved in the co-translational targeting of proteins to membranes. The record is from Ensembl. Lineage: Eukaryota; Metazoa; Chordata; Mammalia; Primates; Cebidae.
UCCGGGCACGGUGGUGCAUGCCUGUAGUCCCAGUUACUCUGGAGGCUGAGGCUGGAGGAUCACUUGAGCCCAGGAGUUCUGGGCUGUAGUGUGCUAUGCUGAUCAGGUGUCUGUACUAAGUUCAGCAUCAAUAUGGUGACCUCCUGGGAGCAGGGAACCACCAGGUUGCCUAAGGAGGGGUGAACCGGCCCAGGUCAGAAACGGAGCAGGUCAAAACUCCCAUGCUGAUCAGUACUGGUAUUGCACCUGUUACCAGUCCCUGCACUCCAGCCUGGGCAACAUAGCAAGACCUUGUCUCUA